CCUACGGGAGGCAGCAGUGAGGAAUAUUGGUCAAUGGACGAGAGUCUGAACCAGCCAAGUAGCGUGAAGGAUGACUGCCCUAUGGGUUGUAAACUUCUUUUAUAUGGGAAUAAAACGUUCCACGUGUGGGAUUUUGUAUGUACCAUAUGAAUAAGGAUCGGCUAACUCCGUGCCAGCAGCCGCGGUAAUACGGAGGAUCCGAGCGUUAUCCGGAUUUAUUGGGUUUAAAGGGAGCGUAGGUGGAUUGUUAAGUCAGUUGUGAAAGUUUGCGGCUCAACCGUAAAAUUGCAGUUGAAACUGGCAGUCUUGAGUACAGUAGAGGUGGGCGGAAUUCGUGGUGUAGCGGUGAAAUGCUUAGAUAUCACGAAGAACUCCGAUUGCGAAGGCAGUUCACUGGACUGCAACUGACACUGAUGCUCGAAAGUGUGGGUAUCAAACAGGAUUAGAUACCCUUGUAGUC
Molecule: ribosomal RNA, 460 nt
Filed under: uncultured bacterium
Lineage: Bacteria
Description: partial 16S ribosomal RNA
Rfam family: Bacterial small subunit ribosomal RNA
Source: RNAcentral